This is a small nucleolar RNA of Magnolia sinica, 107 nucleotides long. NCBI's taxonomy places the organism in Eukaryota, Viridiplantae, Streptophyta, Magnoliopsida, Magnoliales, Magnoliaceae. The record is from RefSeq and is a predicted model, not a curated record.
AAACCAUGUUGUGGGCAUGAACUGACGAGAUCCUUGAACCGCUCCAAACAUUGAAAGAAUGUUUCAUCUUCCUUUUGGACAAAGUUGAUGAUUGAUUUUCAAAGGGU